Melitaea cinxia (Glanville fritillary) is the source of this 412-nucleotide long non-coding RNA. RefSeq lists it as uncharacterized. NCBI's taxonomy places the organism in Eukaryota, Metazoa, Arthropoda, Insecta, Lepidoptera, Nymphalidae. The transcript has 5 exons. The record is from RefSeq and is a predicted model, not a curated record.
UAGUAUAAUUUGAUUUUGAAUUAUAAAAAUAUAAAUAAAACGUUUUUCCUUUUUAGACACAGUAUGGCGAAAUGUCGCAGAAAACGGAAAAUGUGCAAAACACGUUGUCGCACCAAACAGGGCAGGUUUAAGCGAUGCAGAUCUGGCGACCGUCACUAUCGCAUAAAGGGAAGCUGCAAACGAAGGCGUUGUCGAUCCCGUUCCAGACGAAGAUCACGCUACCAAUGGCGUUGCCGCUCAAGAUCUGGUUCAUUUAAGCGGUGCCGUCGCUGCGACAGGCGGUACCGACUUAGGCGCAGGUCGCGGUCAUAGCCGAUAAUAUUCUUGUGCGUCGUCGGUGCUGUUGUCAAUAAUUUUUUUUUCGAAAUUGUUUGUGCUGUAUAUGAUUUAUUAUUAAAACAUUUUAUUUUUA